GACGAACGCUGGCGGCGUGCUUAACACAUGCAAGUCGAACGGAAAGGCCCUGCUUUUGUGGGGUGCUCGAGUGGCGAACGGGUGAGUAACACGUGAGUAACCUGCCCUUGACUUUGGGAUAACUUCAGGAAACUGGGGCUAAUACCGGAUAGGAGCUCCUGCUGCAUGGUGGGGGUUGGAAAGUUUCGGCGGUUGGGGAUGGACUCGCGGCUUAUCAGCUUGUUGGUGGGGUAGUGGCUUACCAAGGCUUUGACGGGUAGCCGGCCUGAGAGGGUGACCGGCCACUGUGGGACGAGGGAGCGGCCAGAACUGCAGCGGGAGGGAGGGGUGGGAAAUUUUCGAAGAUGGGCGGAGGCCGGGUGCAGCAACGCCGGGGGCGGGAAGACGGACUUCGGGUUGGAACCCGUUUUCGCCUUUGAGAAAGCGUGGUGGAGGGAAAUGGGUAAAAAAGCACCGGCAAAAUACGG
This 467-nucleotide ribosomal RNA is filed under the name uncultured bacterium. RNAcentral describes it as "partial 16S ribosomal RNA". It matches the Rfam family "Bacterial small subunit ribosomal RNA", at positions 28 to 506 of the family's 1533-position model. The record is from RNAcentral.